CCUUUGGUGAAGGCGAUGCCGUCGAUGUCGGCGGGCCGCAGCCCCGCAUCUCCGAGCGCCGCCUCCACCAACCCGAGCAGCUUCUCGCGGUGAUGGCGGCUGACCGGGCCGGGUGCGAAGCCGUGUCCCGGCGGGGUGACGUACGUCGCCCUGCGGUUGCUCAGCACCCGGCCGUCCCGCACCACUCCGGCGCCCACUUUGUUAGCGGAGCCCUCCAGGCCCAGCACCGUCGGCAUGGCUGCCGCUCCUCCGCUCCGGGGCCGCUU
RNAcentral lists this long non-coding RNA (266 nucleotides) under Gallus gallus (chicken). The record is from RNAcentral. Lineage: Eukaryota; Metazoa; Chordata; Aves; Galliformes; Phasianidae.